ACUGUGGCCAGCCCUCCCUCGCAGCAGGCACUGUGUGCUGUCCCCAUGCCCAGCUUCCUCCCACACAGGGAGCGAGGGGGAGUACAUCAAGACCUGGCGGCCACGCUACUUCCUCCUCAAGAAUGAUGGCACCUUCAUUGGCUACAAGGAGCGGCCGCAGGACGUGGACCAACGUGAGGCCCCCCUCAACAACUUCUCUGUGGCGCAGUGCCAGCUGAUGAAGACGGAGCGGCCCCGGCCCAACACCUUCAUCAUCCGCUGCCUGCAGUGGACCACUGUCAUUGAACGCACCUUCCACGUGGAGACUCCUGAGGAGCGGGAGGAGUGGACAACCGCCAUCCAGACGGUGGCCGACGGCCUCAAGAAGCAGGAGGAGGAGGAGAUGGACUUCCGGUCGGGCUCACCCAGUGACAACUCAGGGGCUGAAGAGAUGGAGGUGUCCCUGGCCAAGCCCAAGCACCGCGUGACCAUGAAUGAGUUUGAGUACCUGAAGCUGCUGGGCAAGGGCACUUUUGGGAAGGUGAUCCUGGUGAA
Molecule: small RNA, 534 nt
Filed under: Pongo abelii (Sumatran orangutan)
Lineage: Eukaryota; Metazoa; Chordata; Mammalia; Primates; Hominidae
Description: processed transcript
Source: RNAcentral